GACUGCCUGGGAAUGCCCUUCUCCUCCUCCUCUCUUAAAAAAAUUCCUGGCCUGGGCAUCUUUUUCCUGGUUGAAAGGUGUCUAGAUAACCACCUUGGUAGUUUCGGGUGGAUUGGUGAACACAGAAACUGGAUUUGGAGUUGGAUAGUCUUACAUAAACCUGUGGGAAUGCCUGAGUAACUUUUCUCCCCCACAAAGACCACGCAUCCCUCUGUAGAGAUAGGAGUAUUUCUGGUAAAAUAUGCUUCUAGUUGCAGGCUGAUUUUCAGCCUGCCAUUUUAUAAAGUCCUCCUAGACUUGCUGGAAACAUGGAAAAUGCUGUAUCUGCUCUAGUCUACAGCAGUACGACACCAAGCAGUCCACUGAGUUCAGUUCAGCCAGUUAUUACACUUUGUGCACCUACUAAACAAAAGAAAAACAGAGGAUUUCUGUCUUUGAAGAGCUCACAGAUUACAGGUAAAUCCAGGGUAUAGACAUAUAAUCGCAGUUAUCAUGGCUGCCAGGCUAACCACCUUCCCAGGGACUUAGGCUGCUGAAAGUCUUAGAAAAGGACUGUAAAAUCUCCUAACAUCUGAAAGUGGCUAAAAGAGGUAUUAGGAGUUGAUCACUUGGCUCCACUCUCUGGGACUUGCCCAGCACCAGCCACCAUGACAAGCAUCCAAGUUAAAUUCUCACUUCAAAAUCUAAUACCUGCUUGAAGAAUUUCCCAGUUGCCUCUUAGCUUUGCUUCAUGGCACAUACUUGGUAAAUCAAAAUUCUAAACAAAUGUAUCCUGUCAACAAGGGACCAUUUACCACUCCAUAAAUCAACCCGGAUUUUUCAUCCUGCUCUACUGUAUGUGAUGGGUAAAGUAUUCUAAGUGAUCUUUGAAGCAUUUGAUCUCUUUCUUGAGAGAGGCAGCUUUGGGGCACGAUUCCCAAUCUUCUGGGGCAGGCAGGUGCUCUCAGACUUUGGUUUUGAAGUAAUGGUGAUAGCUGUGGUCUUCACUGCGCUAUAGGUCAGUUGACAGGGAGGUUGCUCUCCUUCCACCCUGGGGCUCUUGGUUACCCUUGAAGGAGAGGAAGUAAAAAUCUUCUUAUUUUAAUGACCUAAUCAGAGGGGCUGAAUCAAAAUACCACUUGGCAAUGCCUCGGUACAUGAUUCUCUAAGGCUCACAUGAAGGAAAGGGUAAAUAGUUUGUACUUUCUAUCUAAAUAAACAUUUUCUGAAGUCACAGCACAAAGAGUAGACUACAAGUGCUAAUAUCCAUGGAUAUCAUAUACAAAACAAGAUUAGUACCUGAGCUCAGGAGGGAGUAUUUGUACUUAAAACACCUAAAACAUCAAAUGAAUGAGUCAGAACUUUAGCCUUCAUUCUAUCUGCCUUUGUAAAACACAUCUCUGACUUCUCCGGGUAAACUUGAUCUGAUUCAAACUGGAAACAAGGUAUCUUCUGGCCAAGAUCUUCUCCUUCUUUGAGAUUAAACAGUCUGAAAGGAAAAAUGGGAUUUUCCCUAUUUUAAGAGAAUAAACAUGU
Molecule: long non-coding RNA, 1515 nt
Filed under: Macaca fascicularis (crab-eating macaque)
Lineage: Eukaryota; Metazoa; Chordata; Mammalia; Primates; Cercopithecidae
Description: lncRNA (ENSMFAG00000054935.1)
Source: RNAcentral